This 749-nucleotide long non-coding RNA is filed under the name Salmo salar (Atlantic salmon). RNAcentral's name for it is "lncRNA (ENSSSAG00000116726.1)". Lineage: Eukaryota; Metazoa; Chordata; Actinopteri; Salmoniformes; Salmonidae. The record is from RNAcentral.
AUGGGUGCUCGCUAGCUAAGCUAACGCAUAGAGAACUAACAAACGACUGUGCAACAGAGUGGGAGUCUGCGUCCAGGUUGAACAUGGCGGGAUGGUGACUGACAGUGCCAUGGAUACAUGGGAUGCCAGCAUGCAACAGCAGAGUGUCCCAAACAGCAACAGCGGUGUCGGCAUCAACCACCCAGCCUCUAACAUGGUCUAUGCAGUCCAUGCAGUCCAAGGCAGCCAACGUUGUAAUCGGUGCCUGGCAGGGGAGCCUGGGCACAUUAACCACAUCAUGGGGUAUUGAUUGGUUAUCGUCAUGAUCAGAGAUUGUUUGAAGAACUGAAGGGUCCUUGAGGAUGAAGAGAUUUGAUUGAUUGAUUGAUUGAUUGCUUGAUCAAGCCAUUGUGUAUGUGGCUGUGAACGUUUUAUCAGUGUGCCUUGCCUUUUCUUGCUUUUAACCACAAACACUGUAUUGCUUCAUGGAGAGCCUCACAUGUUUACACUACCUAACACUGGUAUGGGUAAAAUGGCUACUAACCAGACAGUAGACAUAAUAAUUUCAUACCGUCUUACUAACAUUCUGUUUGAAUGGAAAGAUAACCACUACAGUGUAGUCUACAUACAACCAUAAGGAAUGAGCCAUCAAGCCACCAUUAAUACUGUAACUUUACAAUGUAAUGUGGAUACUCAUUUAAAGUCAAUGGAUCUAUUAAAAAAAAUGACUUAUUGUCCCAGUAUCAAGACUGCUUCUAAAGCUGCCAGGA